CUCCAACUGAUGAUUCCCAAAUAGGACGAAACGCGCGUUCUGGAU
Molecule: non-coding RNA, 45 nt
Filed under: Schistosoma haematobium
Lineage: Eukaryota; Metazoa; Platyhelminthes; Trematoda; Strigeidida; Schistosomatidae
Source: RNAcentral